AGAACGAACGCUGGCGGCAGGCCUCAAACAUGCAAGUCUAGGGGGUGUAGCAAUACAUCACCGGCGGACGGGUGCGUAACGCGUGGGAAUGUACCUAUUGGUUCGGAACAACUGAGGGAAACUUCAGCUAAUACCGGAUGAGCCCGAAAGGGGAAAGAUUUCUCGCCAAUAGAUCAGCCCGCGUCCGAUUAGCUAGUUGGUGGGGUUAAAGCCUACCAAGGCGACGAUCGGUAGCUGUUCUGAGAGGAAGAUCAGCCACACUGGGACUGAGACACGGCCCAGACUCCUACGGGAGGCAGCAGUUGGGAAUCUUGGACAAUGGGGGAAACCCUGAUCCAGCCAUGCCGCGUGAGUGAUGAAGGCCUUCGGGUUGUAAACUCUUUCGACGGGACGAUAAUGACGGUACCCGUAGAAGAAGCUCCGGCUAACUUCGUGCCAGCAGCCGC
This 446-nucleotide ribosomal RNA is filed under the name uncultured bacterium. RNAcentral's name for it is "SSU rRNA". It matches the Rfam family "Bacterial small subunit ribosomal RNA", at positions 26 to 518 of the family's 1533-position model. The record is from RNAcentral.